This 478-nucleotide ribosomal RNA is filed under the name uncultured bacterium. RNAcentral's name for it is "partial 16S ribosomal RNA". It matches the Rfam family "Bacterial small subunit ribosomal RNA", at positions 28 to 507 of the family's 1533-position model. The record is from RNAcentral.
GAUGAACGCUGGCGGCGUGCUUAACACAUGCAAGUCGAACGGGAAACCUUUUAUUGAAGCUUCGGCAGAUUUAGCUGGUUUCUAGUGGCGGACGGGUGAGUAACGCGUGGGUAACCUGCCUUAUACAGGGGGAUAACAGUCAGAAAUGGCUGCUAAUACCGCAUAAGCGCACAGAGCUGCAUGGCUCAGUGUGAAAAACUCCGGUGGUAUAAGAUGGACCCGCGUUGGAUUAGCUGGUUGGUGGGGUAACGGCCCACCAAGGCGACGAUCCAUAGCCGGCCUGAGAGGGUGAACGGCCACAUUGGGACUGAGACACGGCCCAGGCUCCUACGGGAGGCAGCAGUGGGGAAUAUUGCACAAUGGGGGAAACCCUGAUGCAGCGACGCCGCGUGAAGGAAGAAGUAUCUCGGUAUGUAAACUUCUAUCAGCAGGGAAGAUAAUGACGGUACCUGACUAAGAAGCCCCGGCUAACUACGUG